This 1423-nucleotide unclassified non-coding RNA is filed under the name Hevea brasiliensis (rubber tree). Lineage: Eukaryota; Viridiplantae; Streptophyta; Magnoliopsida; Malpighiales; Euphorbiaceae. The record is from RNAcentral.
AAAAAAAAAAAAGGGUUGAAGGAGAAAUUAAUGGAGCUAGCAACUCCUUGCAAUUCAUUUAUGAAGGCCAAUUAUUUGCUAGAUGACACAUUUUUCCGCAAUAACAGCAUCAAGCAAAACCAAGCCAUCCUUCUCCAGAUUCCUCUGCUGUUUGGAACAAUUGAAUUCCUGCCCAUACACAUCCUUGAUGACUUUGUGCAGCAUUGCAGCAAUUCUUGGCUACAUGUCCCCAUUCUCCACAAUUGAAACAAGGACCAACACCACUGCAACUCCCAGUACUGCUCCUGUGGCUGCGGCUGCGGUUGCCUCUCCAAGACAAACUUUUAUACUGUCUUGAAGCAAUCUUCCACCAGGAGCAGUCACGUUAAUUGCUUGCAUUUUGGCAUCAGAAGCACCUACAACACUUUCAUACUCAACUAAUGCGCCAGGCCAGAGAUGUAUGUAGCCAUCGGAUUUCAGAGAUAAGUAAUGGACAAACACAUCUACGUCCCCACCAUCAUUUGGCGUUAUAAAUCCAUAACCUCUUUGAUUGUUAUACCAUUUGAUAGUUCCUGUCCUCCUAUUGUUGCUUAACCUCUUGUUCCCAUGGCAGAAGAAGAAACUCUCUUCUUGGUUCGCUAAUCCUCUUCAUCCUGUGUGUGUAUGCGGAUAGUUUAAGAAAAUGUUCAACGUCCAUCCAUGGAAAGCUUGAUUUGAUACACAAGUUUUAACCUUUUGUUUUCCUGAUGAUUGGAAAUGCUGAUGAUCUUGUGCCUUCAGAGCAGGAGCAUUAUCCAGGGUUUCAUCUAAUCCUCCUAGCUCGUGCUCCACCACAUUUUUCCCGAAGAACUCACAUUGACUUCAUCAAAUUUCAUGGCUUCUGUAUAAUAAACACAAGAAGAUAUUGAAUUCGGAAAUUUGCAAAAUGAUAAAAGAAUCUGAUAACUUAUGGAUUUGUCCUGCUGAAACACAAAUCAAAAUCCAACACAAAAAUAUUGUAAAAGAAGUGCUGAAAGCAAGCCUCCAUUCUGGGAUUGAUGAACAUUCAGAUAUCCAUGCAAGUAAAAUUAUUUUAACAAAAUUAAACUACGCUAGAAAUCUUAUGAUUUGCUAUAGAAAUUAACGAAAGGAAAAGGUAUUAUAAAAAAUUGUCAAAUUGCAUAUAUAUAGUCUGAUUUGGCACAACAACAACAGAUGAUUUCUAAAAUUAUAUGUGAGAUUGUGUGUUUUUUUCCUUCUUUUUUUCAAACGAAUUCUCAUCUCAAACACAGAUAUACAGAAUUGAGUAUGGAUUUUAUACUUAUAAUCCUGUCAUGAAAUGAUACUAAUAAUUGGACCAUUUGGGCUUUUUCUUCCCUCUCUUUUCUUUGGACAGUCUUGUUCUGUAGGAUGAAUUAGAAUUUACCUGCUAUUCUGCUCAUGGUAAGAAACUAAUUACGGUUUU